CAGUCGCCGCGGGAAAACGUAGGUGGCAAGCGUUGUCCGGAAUUAUUGGGCGUAAAGGGCCCGCAGGCGGUUUCUUAAGUCUGAUGUGAAAGCCCCCGGCUCAACCGGGGAGGGUCAUUGGAAACUGGGAAACUUGAGUGCAGAAGAGGAGAGUGGAAUUCCACGUGUAGCGGUGAAAUGCGUAGAGAUGUGGAGGAACACCAGUGGCGAAGGCGACUCUCUGGUCUGUAACUGACGCUGAGGAGCGAAAGCGUGGGGAGCGAACGGGAUUAGAUACCCGAGUAGUCCCUGUCUCUUAUAC
Molecule: ribosomal RNA, 301 nt
Filed under: uncultured bacterium
Lineage: Bacteria
Description: partial 16S ribosomal RNA
Rfam family: Bacterial small subunit ribosomal RNA
Source: RNAcentral